CUUAUGUGUUUUGGCGCCCAUACCGGACGGGGUAUGGAGACGACCCGUUUCACCCUCAUACCGGACGGGGUAUUGAGGUUCAUGGUUUUAGUGCCCAUACCGGACGGGGUAUGGGGACGGCUCUGGAAUCAGGUUAUAAAUGUUAAGGGUUCACGGGUAGCGGGACCCCUAUGGAUCCCCAUGGAUACUAGUAGGCUGGUAAAUGAGGAAAAUGUGUUGUUUAAUGAUUGAAACGCAAAGGCGUGGUAAGUAUUUUAUUAUACAGUUCAUAUGAUUUCAUGAUGAUGAUAAUGUUAUU
RNAcentral lists this long non-coding RNA (298 nucleotides) under Carica papaya (papaya). Its description in RNAcentral is "long non-coding RNA (CPAP_LNC015600)". The record is from RNAcentral. Lineage: Eukaryota; Viridiplantae; Streptophyta; Magnoliopsida; Brassicales; Caricaceae.